RNAcentral lists this long non-coding RNA (483 nucleotides) under Phoenix dactylifera (date palm). RNAcentral's name for it is "long non-coding RNA (PDAC_LNC008104)". Lineage: Eukaryota; Viridiplantae; Streptophyta; Magnoliopsida; Arecales; Arecaceae. The record is from RNAcentral.
GCGUUUAAGGGAUUAAGAUUAAAAUUGAGAGGCUUGAUUAGGAUUAAAUUAGAUCUGAAUUUUAAUAUUCAUGCUUGCUGAAAUUUUCUGCAUGCUGAAAUUUCAGUUUUCAGAAAUUUCAGCAUGCUGAUUUUUAUUCUUAUGAUCUUGCAUGUAGAUUUUAAAUUACAAUAAGAUUGAAACAAUUAAAAAUCAUGUCUUGCAUGAUCAGAGAUUCAAUUGGUAGCAUGAUUAAAAUUAAAAUUAUCAGAUCUGAAAUUGUAUGCAUGAGAUGCAUGUGAUAAGAAUCAAUCAUGGAUUCAUGAUCAUAAAAAUAUAUUUUUCUAUUUAUGCCUAUGCUUAAAAGGAAAAUUAUAUAUGCGUGAGAUGAAUAAGAUAUGAUCAAAUCAUGGAUUCAUGAUAAUUAAAGGAUAAUAUUGUUUAGGCCAAUGCUUAAAAGGAAAUUGUAUAUGCAUGAGAUGUAUAUAUAUAAAUGUUAAGCAA